Long non-coding RNA from Neofelis nebulosa (Clouded leopard), 478 nucleotides. RefSeq lists it as uncharacterized. The transcript has 2 exons. NCBI's taxonomy places the organism in Eukaryota, Metazoa, Chordata, Mammalia, Carnivora, Felidae. The record is from RefSeq and is a predicted model, not a curated record.
AGCUGGAGCCGCCUUUGCUGUGCCUCUGUUUACUUUUUAAAACGAGAAAUUUCAACCCAGAGAAAAGCCGCAAGCAGGUGCCAUUUCCCUCAGUUUUGGCGGUCAUUUCUCUCCUGCCCCAUCCGCUCUCUCGUCACUGCUCAGCCCCCCGGGACCGUCCGAGAGUAAGUUGGACGCCUCAGUACCUCAGGGAGCGUUUUCUAAAAACAAGGACGUUUUCUUGCGCGACCACAUUACCGUCAUGAAAAUGAAGAAAUCUAGCGUCCACCUUAACACUGUUGUCUGGGCCGCUGCUGUCCCCUAGGAACGCGAGUCCUGUCUGCAAUUUUAGAUUUUCUAGUGGCUGCGUUAAAAAAAAGUAACAAGACGGACACGAAGUUAAUUUUAACGAUAGGUUUUAUUUGACCCAACUGUACCCAAAACGUUACCACAUUGGCCUGUAAGCAACGUCAAAUGUUACUGAGAUGUGUUACUGUUU